This is a non-coding RNA of Guyanagaster necrorhizus, 90 nucleotides long. NCBI's taxonomy places the organism in Eukaryota, Fungi, Basidiomycota, Agaricomycetes, Agaricales, Physalacriaceae. The record is from the annotation of a RefSeq genome assembly.
GGCGCUAUGGUGUAGUGGCAGCACAUGGGAUUCUGAUGUGAAAUGUUGCUGACUAUUCCCAUAACCCAGGUUCGAACCCUGGUAGUGCCU